Molecule: ribosomal RNA, 477 nt
Filed under: Cytospora sp.
Lineage: Eukaryota; Fungi; Ascomycota; Sordariomycetes; Diaporthales; Cytosporaceae
Description: partial large subunit ribosomal RNA
Rfam family: Eukaryotic large subunit ribosomal RNA
Source: RNAcentral
AAAUUGUUGAAAGGGAAGCAUUUAUGACCAGACUUGCGCCGGGCAGCUCAUCAGGGGUUCUCCCCUGUGCACUCUGCCCGGCUCAGGCCAGCAUCGGUUCUCGUGGGAGGAUAAGAACAGUGGGAACGUGGCCCCCCUCCGGGGGGGGUGUUAUAGCCCAUUGUACGAUACUCUCGUGGGGACCGAGGUUCGCGCUCCGCAAGGAUGCUGGCGUAAUGGUCAUCAAUGACCCGUCUUGAAACACGGACCAAGGAGUCGUCCAUUAGAGCGAGCGUUUGGGUGUAAAACCCGCACGCGUAAUGAAAGUGAACGCAGGUGAGAGCUUCGGCGCAUCAUCGACCGAUCCUGAUGUCUUCGGAUGGAUUUGAGUAAGAGUUUUAACGGACGGACCCGAAAGACAGUGAACUAUGCUUGUAUAGGGUGAAGCCAGAGGAAACUCUGGUGGAGGCUCGCAGCGGUUCUGACGUGCAAAUCGAU